UACCCGGUAGGUCAAUUGGUAGCUAAAGAUUGUUAAUCAUUAGGUCGUGGUUCAAGCCCGUCCCGGGAAG
RNAcentral lists this transfer RNA (70 nucleotides) under Legionella sp. km535. RNAcentral's name for it is "tRNA-Asn". Lineage: Bacteria; Pseudomonadati; Pseudomonadota; Gammaproteobacteria; Legionellales; Legionellaceae. The record is from RNAcentral.